Molecule: unclassified non-coding RNA, 339 nt
Filed under: Hevea brasiliensis (rubber tree)
Lineage: Eukaryota; Viridiplantae; Streptophyta; Magnoliopsida; Malpighiales; Euphorbiaceae
Source: RNAcentral
GUAUGACCAGAAUAAGAAUGGACUGAUCUCAUCUGCUGAGUUGCACCAGGUGUUGAAUCGCUUGGGGUUGCAGUGUUCUAUGGAGGAUUGUGAGAGGAUGAUUGAGAGUGUUGAUUCGGAUGGGGAUGGGUGUGUGAAUUUCAACGAGUUUCAGAAGAUGAUGGCUGCAACUGUCAAGAAUGAAAAUACCUCUACAGGGAAUUGAAAACGACGCGUAGUUUCUUCGGUUUCGAUCUGGUACUUUUCUCCAUUUUGAUUUAAUAUGAAUUUUAUGUAUGCAUUUUGGACUAUUGAUAAUCGAAUGUAAUAUGAUUGUGUUUUAAUUUUGAAUUAUUAACG